AUGCCCGGCCCGCUCGGCCCCCGCCCGCGCCCGCCGCCCGGCCAGCCCCGAGCCCCCGCCCCGCUGCGACUUUGGCGGGCCGAGCCCGGCGCGGCAGUGGCGGCGGCGGCGGCGGCAGAUGUGGCCCGGCUGCCCGGAGGAGCCAACAAUGCGGGGCCGGCAAAACAAAAGGGUUCCACUUCGCCUCCUUUCCCUUCUUUCACUUGCGCUCCCGGGGCGCCGCGCGGGAUCCCCGGCCAGCAGGGGCCGCUCCCCUGGGGGCCCCGAGCCGCGCGCGCCCCGGUUUCCCCGCGGACCCCCGCUCUACCGCCCGCCCCCGCCCCGCAAAACGUAAGGCCCCGCGCGUCGGACUCCCGGUCCCGGGGGAUCCGGCCGUAUUGUCCCCGCGGCGCGCCGCGCGCUCGGCCUGGGUCGCGGGCGGCCCCCGCGCGCGCACCCACCGGCCUCGGGGAGCAGGAGCCGGGGGCGCCUAGGAAACCGUCGCCGAGACGCCGCCGCCGCCGCCGCCGCCGCUGCCCUCCGGACGCCGCCGCGCUCGGGAUUUCUUUUUUCUUUUUUUUUUUUUUUUUUUUUCCAAUCCUGAUGGGAAGGAAGGUGACCGCCUACUUCGCAUUCAUCAACUCUCAUCACAACAACAAAAAUCCUGGCGCAAACGGCAGCCGGCGGGCGCGAUCGGCGGCGGGGGGCGGCAGGCAGGGACCUCCAGGCCGGCUCCCACCCCCGGGCGCCGAGCGGGGACACGGGGGCGCAGACCAAAGAUGUCCUCGGAUGCCGGCUCCGUGUCCUUCGCCCUCCUCCUCCUCCUCCUCCCCCCCACCCCCCAGUGGCGCAGUGAGGCGCGGGCGCGGCGCCCCCAGCCCGCGGCCGCAGGUGAGGCGGGGGCGGCAGCGGUCCCAGCCCUCCCCCGGGGCCCCGCUUACCUCGUCCCGGGCCGCCGGCGUCCACGGCGAAGGGCGCCCACCCGGGAGGCGGCGGCGGCGGCGGUGGCGGCGGCUCCCGCCCCUCCCACCCCACCCGGCGGCGGUGGCGGUGGCGGCGGCUGUGCGGCCCCCCCCUCAGCGCGGCAUGGCUCCCGGCUCGGUCCCUCGCUCCUCGGGCCGCCGCCGGCUUCUCUGGGCCGCUCCCGGGCCACCUUAA
Molecule: long non-coding RNA, 1137 nt
Filed under: Felis catus (domestic cat)
Lineage: Eukaryota; Metazoa; Chordata; Mammalia; Carnivora; Felidae
Description: lncRNA (ENSFCAG00000053072.1)
Source: RNAcentral